Molecule: non-coding RNA, 107 nt
Organism: Acanthosepion pharaonis
Lineage: Eukaryota; Metazoa; Mollusca; Cephalopoda; Sepiida; Sepiidae
Source: the annotation of a GenBank genome assembly
UUACAGCCAUAUCACGUCGAAACACCAGUUCCCGUACGAUCACCGAAGGUAAGCAACGUCGUGUCUGGUCAGUAACUAGAUGGGUGACCUCUUGGGAAUAUCAGGUG